Molecule: ribosomal RNA, 301 nt
Filed under: uncultured bacterium
Lineage: Bacteria
Description: partial 16S ribosomal RNA
Rfam family: Bacterial small subunit ribosomal RNA
Source: RNAcentral
CAGCCGCCGCGGUAAUACGAAGGGGGCUAGCGUCGCUCGGAAUUACUGGGCGUAAAGGGAGCGUAGGCGGAUCGUUAAGUUGGGGGUGAAAGCCCGGGGCUCAACCUCGGAAUUGCCUUCAAUACUGGCGAUCUUGAGUAUGGAAGAGGUAUGUGGAACUCCGAGUGUAGAGGUGAAAUUCGUAGAUAUUCGGAAGAACACCAGUGGCGAAGGCGACAUACUGGUCCAUUACUGACGCUGAGGCUCGAAAGCGUGGGGAGCAAACAGGAUUAGAUACCCCCGUAGUCCCUGUCUCUUAUAC